AUCACCGACGCCAAGCUGCCCGACAUGCAGGCCGGCUGGGAAUCGAUGUGCUCGAAUGUCAUGGCCGGGCUCUCGGGUCUCAACAUGGUCUACGAGGCGG
Roseovarius indicus is the source of this 100-nucleotide regulatory RNA element. It matches the Rfam family "Pyrrolysine insertion sequence mttB". Lineage: Bacteria; Pseudomonadati; Pseudomonadota; Alphaproteobacteria; Rhodobacterales; Roseobacteraceae. The record is from Rfam.